This is a non-coding RNA of Ictidomys tridecemlineatus (thirteen-lined ground squirrel), 1017 nucleotides long. Lineage: Eukaryota; Metazoa; Chordata; Mammalia; Rodentia; Sciuridae. The record is from RefSeq and is a predicted model, not a curated record.
UGGACUCUUUCUGGUAGACACUUUCUAACUCUAAUGUAAUCUCUGACAUUAGACAUGUAUAUCAGAAUCUCAUCGAGACACAUGCUGACUCUCAUUGAGCAUCAGGUGUACAAGCCAAUAAGGCAACACUUACUUUCUCUGUCACAAGAGGAGUCUGAGAAACACUACCUGGAAUCUUAAGAUCCUCAGGGUGGGGACAAGUUCUCUAGUAUCAUCAUGAAUAUGUGUUUGUCUGCAUAGCCUAGCAACACUGAGAUGGACAACUAGCUACGCACUGGGAAAACGCCUGUUCCUGCUGCCUGCUUGGUCCCAUGUCACCGAUAACCCUGUUGUUACUGAAGCAUGUAAAUUGUGUGGCUUGCUGUAAAUGAACCUGAAUGAAUGAGGCACAAACAUGUUUUGAUGCGGUGACCAUAGUAAAGCAACUGCCUCCCUCAAUAUGAGCUACUUCUGUGGAAGGGAAAAUUGGAAAGUUCACCAGCUGAAGCUUGUAGUUUGAAGUACGUGGAGGACAAAGCUCUAAAGGAAAGCAAGGACAAAAGAAGAAGACGUGGAGUGUAAAUGAUCACUGCUAUAUCCAUUUUGAAGAUCAAGAAGGAUGUCAUUCCACUGAGCAUCCCCUGUGUUUCGUGUCCCAUCACACUGCUUGAUUUGUCUUUAUUGCCUUAGUGUCACCUCAUGUUUAAUGGCUGGCUCCUUCAAUUCAAACGUACAAGGUAAAUGAGGGCAGUUUUCUUACUCUUACCCUCCCACUGAUUUUCUACAGCCUGGAAUAAUGUUUGCACAGUAAGCCCUUAAAAGUUAUUUAUUAAGUAGAGUGAUAUAUAUUUUGGUUUGUCAGGUUAAAAAAAAAAUAAUAUCCUCAAAUUGCAAUAAUCUGUCACUAUACAAGUACUCUUUGAUAGAGCAAAUUAGUAAUGCAGGAUUAUGAAAGGGCAUAAGUAAACUAUUGGGGGUCAUGAAAAUGUUCACCUUGCUUGUGGCAAUUGUUUCAAUGGAUAUAGACAUAUGUGAUGA